Molecule: transfer RNA, 77 nt
Filed under: Klebsiella pneumoniae
Lineage: Bacteria; Pseudomonadati; Pseudomonadota; Gammaproteobacteria; Enterobacterales; Enterobacteriaceae
Also listed under: 2 other names
Description: tRNA-His
Rfam family: tRNA
About the family: Transfer RNA (tRNA) molecules are approximately 80 nucleotides in length. Their secondary structure includes four short double-helical elements and three loops (D, anti-codon, and T loops).
Source: RNAcentral
GUGACUGUGAGCGUAAUUGGCUAACGUUUCUCACUGUGAAUGAGAUGAUAUGGGAUCAUACCCCAUCAGUCACACCA